This is a non-coding RNA of Notechis scutatus (mainland tiger snake), 606 nucleotides long. The record is from RefSeq and is a predicted model, not a curated record. NCBI's taxonomy places the organism in Eukaryota, Metazoa, Chordata, Lepidosauria, Squamata, Elapidae.
AACGGGCCACUUGGUGGAGGCUUGUAGGAACCGAGGCGCCAUGGCGGAGGUGACAGCUCGGCCGACUGCAUCCCUGCCAGCAGCAGCAGAACUUCCCAGAGCCAGGUCAGGAAGAGUGCCACGGCAACUUUGAACGGGUCACUAAACAAACUGUCCUAAGUCGAGCACCACCUGUAUCUACAACUUGGCAUGCACAACAGUUUUUGCCAUCGUGGCUCAAUUGCCUGUUUUUCUCGCCUGCCUCUGAUUAAAAACGCUCCUUAUUUUCCUCGCUGGGUAUUUUGCAGUGGAGAGAAAAGACGGAUGUAUCCGAGCAGUCGGAGAACACAGGAUAACGCAAUUAGAGGGUGACAUUAUCCAUAAAAGUCUGUGAACGGUUUCAGAGCCAGUGAAAGAAUCAGCCCGGAAGGAUCCUGGUUUUUCAGGCAGAUUCAUCACAGGCUUUUUAAACUGUACACAGAAAGCAGAAGGGUAAAUGGAAUUGCUGGUUUGGAUUUUUUCCUCACUGAAAGAAACGCGAGCGGAGUAAAUCUUUUCUGAUGGAAUAAGGUUGAGGUAGAUUGAAUUUCCCGCUGGGUGAACGCAGAGCCCGUGGAUAAAUUUAUU